Molecule: ribosomal RNA, 453 nt
Filed under: Bradyrhizobium sp. CMI17
Lineage: Bacteria; Pseudomonadati; Pseudomonadota; Alphaproteobacteria; Hyphomicrobiales; Nitrobacteraceae
Description: bacterial SSU rRNA
Rfam family: Bacterial small subunit ribosomal RNA
Source: RNAcentral
GGCCCGCACAAGCGGUGGAGCAUGUGGUUUAAUUCGACGCAACGCGCAGAACCUUACCAGCCCUUGACAUGUCCAGGACCGGCACCAGAGAUGGAGCCUUCUCUUCGGAGCCUGGAGCACAGGUGCUGCAUGGCUGUCGUCAGCUCGUGUCGUGAGAUGUUGGGUUAAGUCCCGCAACGAGCGCAACCCCCGUCUUUAGUUGCUACCAUUUAGUUGAGCACUCUAAAGAGACUGCCGGUGAUAAGCCGNGAGGAAGGUGGGGAUGACGUCAAGUCCUNAUGGCCCUUACGGGCUGGGCUACACACGUGCUACAAUGGCGGUGACAAUGGGAUGCUAAGGGGCGACCCCUCGCAAAUNUCAAAAAGCCGUCUCAGUUCGGAUUGGGCUCUGCAACUCNAGCCCAUGAAAGUUGGAAUCUCUNGUAAUCUNGGAAUCAACAUNGCNNACGGUGAA